UCGAGAAUAAUUCACAAUGGGGGAAACCCUGAUGGUGCAACGCCGCGUGGAGGAUGAAGGUCUUCGGAUUGUAAACUCCUGUCAUCUGGGAGUAAGGCGUGGCGAUGAAUAGUCGACACGAUUGAUAGUACCAGAAGAGGAAGGGACGGCUAACUUCGUGCCAGCAGCCGCGGUAAUACGAAGGUCCCAAGCGUUGUUCGGAAUCACUGGGCGUAAAGGGAGCGUAGGCGGCGUGGUAAGUCAGAUGUGAAAUCCCGGGGCUCAACCCCGGAACUGCAUCCGAUACUGCCAUGCUUGAGGGUUGGAGAGGUGACUGGAAUUCUCGGUGUAGCAGUGAAAUGCGUGGAUAUCGAGAGGAACACUCGUGGCGAAGGCGAGUCACUGGACAACAUCUGACGCUGAGGCUCGAAGGCUAGGGUAGCGAAAG
RNAcentral lists this ribosomal RNA (427 nucleotides) under uncultured Luteolibacter sp. RNAcentral's name for it is "bacterial SSU rRNA". It matches the Rfam family "Bacterial small subunit ribosomal RNA", at positions 355 to 774 of the family's 1533-position model. Lineage: Bacteria; Pseudomonadati; Verrucomicrobiota; Verrucomicrobiia; Verrucomicrobiales; Verrucomicrobiaceae. The record is from RNAcentral.